AUGAGGCAACUGCAGUUCAAAUUUGACCCGCUUCCAGCUGAAUGGGCGGGAAUUUGUCUUUUUCACGAGUGGUUGAUCAAAACUUUUGACACCCAACCAUUUGGGACGUUGUGGCUCAUGGGGGUCGCGGGAUCCAUCGCCUACAACUGGUCCAGGCCCGGCAUGAAGACCAGCGUCAAGCUCAUCCACGACAGCAUGCAAUGGUUUGCAGUACUUGAUCAUGGCCUGAUGGAACCUACAUGUCGUUACUACAAUAGCUAG
RNAcentral lists this ribosomal RNA (261 nucleotides) under Triticum aestivum (bread wheat). RNAcentral describes it as "partial small subunit ribosomal RNA". The record is from RNAcentral. Lineage: Eukaryota; Viridiplantae; Streptophyta; Magnoliopsida; Poales; Poaceae.